GAUGAACGCUGGCGGCGUGCCUAAUACAUGCAAGUCGAGCGAACAGACGAGGAGCUUGCUCCUCUGACGUUAGCGGCGGACGGGUGAGUAACACGUGGAUAACCUACCUAUAAGACUGGGAUAACUUCGGGAAACCGGAGCUAAUACCGGAUAAUAUAUUGAACCGCAUGGUUCAAUAGUGAAAGACGGUUUUGCUGUCACUUAUAGAUGGAUCCGCCCCGCAUUAGCUAGUUGGUAAGGUAAAGGCUUACCAAGGCAACGAUGCGUAGCCGACCUGAGAGGGUGAUCGGCCACACUGGAACUGAGACACGGUCCAGACUCCUACGGGAGGCAGCAGUAGGGAAUCUUCCGCAAUGGGCGAAAGCCUGACGGAGCAACGCCGCGUGAGUGAUGAAGGUCUUCGGAUCGUAAAACUCUGUUAUUAGGGAAGAACAAAUGUGUAAGUAACUAUGCACGUCUUGACGGUACCUAAUCAGAAAGCCACGGCUAACUACGUG
This 497-nucleotide ribosomal RNA is filed under the name uncultured bacterium. RNAcentral describes it as "partial 16S ribosomal RNA". It matches the Rfam family "Bacterial small subunit ribosomal RNA", at positions 28 to 507 of the family's 1533-position model. The record is from RNAcentral.